Molecule: ribosomal RNA, 492 nt
Filed under: uncultured bacterium
Lineage: Bacteria
Description: partial 16S ribosomal RNA
Rfam family: Bacterial small subunit ribosomal RNA
Source: RNAcentral
AGUGAACGCCGGCGGUAGGCCUAACACAUGCAAGUCGAACGGCAGCACAGUAAGAGCUUGCUCUUACGGGUGGCGAGUGGCGGACGGGUGAGGAAUACAUCGGAAUCUACUUUUUCGUGGGGGAUAACGUAGGGAAACUUACGCUAAUACCGCAUACGACCUACGGGUGAAAGCAGGGGAUCUUCGGACCUUGCGCGAUUGAAUGAGCCGAUGUCGGAUUAGCUAGUUGGCGGGGUAAAGGCCCACCAAGGCGACGAUCCGUAGCUGGUCUGAGAGGAUGAUCAGCCACACUGGAACUGAGACACGGUCCAGACUCCUACGGGAGGCAGCAGUGGGGAAUAUUGGACAAUGGGCGCAAGCCUGAUCCAGCCAUACCGCGUGGGUGAAGAAGGCCUUCGGGUUGUAAAGCCCUUUUGUUGGGAAAGAAAAGCAGCAGGUUAAUACCCCGCUGUUCGGACGGUACCCAAAGAAUAAGCACCGGCUAACUUCGUG